Molecule: ribosomal RNA, 440 nt
Filed under: Pseudomonas aeruginosa
Lineage: Bacteria; Pseudomonadati; Pseudomonadota; Gammaproteobacteria; Pseudomonadales; Pseudomonadaceae
Description: bacterial SSU rRNA
Rfam family: Bacterial small subunit ribosomal RNA
Source: RNAcentral
AUCGCGCGAGUGCCUGUGCGAGCUGAUCACCUGCCGCGUGUGUGAGAAGGUCUUCGGAUUGUAAAGCACUUUAUGUUGGGAGGAAGGGCGUUAAGUUAAUACCUUGCUGUUUUGACGUUACCAACAGAAUAAGCACCGGCUAACUUCGUGCCAGCAGCCGCGGUAAUACGAAGGGUGCAAGCGUUAAUCGGAAUUACUGGGCGUAAAGCGCGCGUAGGUGGUUCAGCAAGUUGGAUGUGAAAUCCCCGGGCUCAACCUGGGAACUGCAUCCAAAACUACUGAGCUAGAGUACGGUAGAGGGUGGUGGAAUUUCCUGUGUAGCGGUGAAAUGCGUAGAUAUAGGAAGGAACACCAGUGGCGAAGGCGACCACCUGGACUGAUACUGACACUGAGGUGCGAAAGCGUGGGGAGCAAACAGGAUUAGAUACCCGAGUAGUCCA